RNAcentral lists this long non-coding RNA (226 nucleotides) under Pelobates cultripes (western spadefoot toad). Lineage: Eukaryota; Metazoa; Chordata; Amphibia; Anura; Pelobatidae. The record is from RNAcentral.
GGAGGAUUGGAGGAAGGCAGAUGUUGUUACUAUAUUUAAAAAUGUUUCAAAAUCCUUGCCUGGAAAUUAUAGACCUGUGAGCUUAACUUCUGUGACUAGGAAAAUAUUUGAAGGGCUAUUAAGGGAUAAUAUUCAGGAAUUCAUUGGGAAGAACUUUGUUAUUAGCAAUAAUCAGCAUGGCUUUAUGAAACAUAGGUUAUGUCAAACUAACCUAAUUGCAUUUAAC